Notechis scutatus (mainland tiger snake) is the source of this 319-nucleotide non-coding RNA. Lineage: Eukaryota; Metazoa; Chordata; Lepidosauria; Squamata; Elapidae. The record is from RefSeq and is a predicted model, not a curated record.
GGUUGUGGGACUUCCUUUGAUUUUCACAAGAAGAUUGAUUAUCUGUUCCUAGUGGGUACCGAGGAAGGCAAAAUCUACAAGUGCUCCAAGACCUACUCGAGCCAGUUCCUGGAUAUCUUCCACGCUCACCACAUGGCGGUGGAUGCCGUCCGCUGGAACCCCUUCCACAACAAGAUCUUCAUUUCCUGCAGCUCGGACUGGACUGUGAAGAUCUGGGAUCACACCAUCAAGACACCCAUGUUUAUCUACGACCUGAAUUCUGCAGUUGGCGACGUGGCUUGGGCGCCUUAUUCCUCCACCGUCUUUGCGGCUGUAACCA